AUCCAGUUCUGCCUCUCCGCGCCGAAGACGGACA
RNAcentral lists this transfer RNA (34 nucleotides) under Scrippsiella hangoei. Its description in RNAcentral is "partial Selenocysteine transfer RNA". Lineage: Eukaryota; Dinophyceae; Peridiniales; Peridiniaceae. The record is from RNAcentral.